UUCUCUCACAAAAGUUUUUCACCCAAAGAACUGAGUAUAACUUUUGGUAAUGAUUCAAAUAAUGUACAGUCACAUGGGACAUGCCACCGAGAUCUAUUUAGGUGCAUGAGCACCACCAACACAAUCUCAUGGCAAUUCAUAACUAUUUUACGUAAUUCUUAUGAAUUAAUACAAUCUCAUUUGUUCAUUUUCGUACUAUCUGCUGGCACCCCAGUGACGGGUAUGUUUAGGGGUGGGGUUAUGGGUGGACCUUCAUGCUUACUAAUAAUCAUACGUUUUUGUACACAUCGUACAAAUUCAUAUGAAAUCGCCACCUCAUAAGUUACCAGUUACGUUUUCCUUGAGAUCAGUUUGGACAGCACUGACUGGCUGAAGAACACGAACACACCUAAAUUCAGUUGUUGCCUAAUAGUUAGAGAGUUCGACUGGUCCCCAGUCACUCCCCGGGCGCCACAGCAAAAUUGCUGCCUGCUGCUCCAGCUGUGUGUCCAGAGUUUGCAGUGUGUGUGUGUGUGUGUGUGUGUGUGUGUGUGUGUGUGUGUGUUCACUACUCUCUCGUAAAAGAUCAUAAAAGAAAAGAAAUCCAUACGAAUCAAUGGGUUUAGAACAACAUGAAGGGUGAGUAGCUAAUUGAUGAGUGAAAUUUCAUUUUUUGUUGAUCUCUUUAAGAGCCCAUCAAAAAGAAUUGGGCACUGGUAAACAUCUACUAUAGUACAACAAAAUAAUGUUGCUUGCAAAAAAUAAAUAAAUAAAUAGUCAGAAUACACAGAUAUUUUCUUAUUGAUCAUCAAUGAAAAAAGAUGUUCUUUACAGAUAGGGUUAACAGGGAUGCCAUGUUGAGAUAAACAUGACCAGUCGUGUCUUAAAUGUAGUCAACAACAAACUCAUUUUCCAGAGAAGUGGGAAUGGCAGAGGAUGAUGCUCUCGGAUCGGUUGUUUAGAAAGAAAAAUAUAGAAUGUAAUGACUCUUUUACAAAUCUGAAACAUUUCCACAUAUAGAGAUAUUACACAAUCAUAAUAUUACACAAUAUUAGUAGAUACUACAAAAAUAAAAGCAGUCCUCAGACCAGUUAAUAUUGUCAGUACAGUAUGUAGAGUGUAUGGUGUGUAAGUCAUCUAUUAAUGGUAACUCAGCAAAGAAAUAACAAUAAACUGAUUUUAUAACUGAAAUAUUAGUGUAAAAUAGUUGUGGUUUAGUAUAUUCAUUCUUUAAAAAUACAUUUCAUACUCUCUAUUCCUCAAGAAUGCUUGUGUUUUGUCAGCGCUCAGAGGGAGUGAGUUUCUGUGGUAAGGAAAUACUCAGAAACAUCUGACGAACCACCACACACAUUUUAGGGUUCAGUUUAAGGUUAGAAGUAGGGUUAGGCUUCAUAGCUUGAACAACAUUAUUUAUAUCAACUAAUCUUUUUCCUCUGGUUUUAGGGAAACCAUGACUUAUAUUGAUUUUGAUAGGAAUGUUCCAGCAGUGAGGAACGUUUUAGUCACAUAUAGUGCAGAAUGCAUUAUUGCUGUGGCUUUUUAUGGCUAAGAUAUCAGAUGUAUACUUUUCUAAAACAUUACACAGCAAAUGUUCAGAGUUGGCAUGACUUUAAAGGGACAGCGUGACGCGCAGUGGCUUUAAUGGGACUUACAGAUUCAGGCUUUAACUGAGCCACUCUCUACGGUCCCAGCAUGUCUGUCAUCAGUAGCAGCAGGCUGACUCCUGAACACCUGGCCGAUCGCCUGCGGACGCUCCCAGAGGACACAACCACCAGCUGUAAAGUUCAGUGAGACUGAAGAACAGACGACAGAAUGGACAAAAGCCUGUCCCAGGCCUCCCAUCUGACUCCUCUGAAGCCCCUCCAAAGUCUUUGAAGUGCUUGCAAUAUGUUACUGUGCUUAGGGUCUUUUCAGUUGCAUGUGCUGAAUUAUGCGUUGAAAUCUGGAAGUGUGUGUACAUACAGUCCUGUACAAGAAUGAUGAACCGCAUUGGAAUGAUCUGCAUUUUCUUGGCUUUUUCAGUGGAACUUAAUGCCAGUUCACAGGUUCUGAAAGGAGGGCUCAUCUGUGUGACAGAUUACUGCAAAUCUGUCAGCUGCUCUUUAAAGCUACCAGACACAUCCACUAGAAACAUAUCACACUGGCUGGAAUUUCAAUGGAACAAUCACAUUACAGAUUAUGAUGACUUCAAACACGGGCCGUAUAGAUGCCCACUCCAGAGAGCACGCGAAGAUCACACCUGCACUUUCACUGUAAAUGGAAUAAUAACUGAUCUUGAUAAUGUUACUGUGAAACUUCAUUAUUUGGAAAACGGCAAUAAGAAUUCGUCUCCGCUGAAUGAUGGUUGGAAGCCAGCAAAAAAAUUAAACCAAAAGUCCCAUUUAAUCUGACAUUACAAUAUACAAAUGGGAUGUAUCAUUUCUCUUGGACUAAUGGAUAUGAAGAUGAACACUAUGGACAUUAUCUACCCAAUAUGUACAAAUUCCUGUACUACAAAGAUGGAGAUAAUGACAGCGUAAGAUUAAUUACAGUGAUGAUUCAGAUGUAAAUGUCCACCAUUCAUAGUGCAUGUUCUCAGAGCACAUCCUCUGUUUCACCCACAUCAAAACGCCAUCUAUAUGUGUGUUCUUGCUUUGAAAAUGAAUGUUUUCUAUAAUGGUUUCACAUUGUUACUUUUUAAAGGAGGUCAGUGUUCAUCCAGACAAUAAAAUGAUUCAGAUUGAUGAAAUGAAGCUUGAUCCAGUCACUAUAUACACUGCUAUGGUGAGGUCUGGGAUACGUGAACAUCGGACAUACAGAGGAACGUGGAGCAGCGCAGUAAAAUGGAAUACGACAUACAGAGAUGAAUACCGUGGUACUGAUUUACAUUUACACUCUCAUGUACUUGAUUUCUAAUCUAUCUGUUGCUGUGAGAUUAAAAGUGCAGUAAGCUAUUUCUGAGAAGCAUUGUUAAAAGUUGGUCAGACCGAGCAGCACGACACACAUCAGCAGUAGGGGGUGUGUCCACUCAUGAUGGGGGAGGAGACAGAGUGAGCCAAUCAGCAGUAGGGGGAGUGUCCACUCAUGAUGGAGGAGGAAAGAGAGAGUGAGCCAAUCAGCAGUAGGGGUGUGUCCACUAAUGAUGGAGGAGGAGAGAGAGUGAGCCAAUCAGCAGUAGGGGGCGUGUCCACUCAUGAUGGGGGAGGAGAGAGAGAAUGAGCAAGAAGGAGAUUUGAAGAAAGACUGUAGAAAGAGAGUUGGCUGAGAGACAUUACAAAAGAGAAAAGGUCAGAGGAAUUUCCCUGGGAAAAGAAGAGUUAUGAUCAGGCAAGAGCUUUAAGACCCACGUUAUAUAUAAUAUAAAUUAUAUAUAUUAUAUAAUAUAAUAUAUAAUAUAAAAGUGUUCCAGCACUGGGGAGACCUAAGCAGGAAGUACUGAAAAAGGACGCUGAGGUUGCAUUGUUUUUCCAUACGUGAGCAACAUUGGCUUUGCUAUGUUUCAAAGAGCUAAGAUAUGCUGUUGUUGUAGUAUUAGCUUUAGUAACAGGACAGAGAGAGUGAGCCAAUCAAUCUUGCUGGUCUUUAACCAGCCGAAGAGAGCGCAUGUCACACCUCUAUUCAUCAGUUUGCAUUGGCUGCCAAUAGUCGCUCGCAUCCAAUUCAAGGCUCUAAUGUUUGCCUACAGAACAACCACUGGCUCUGCACCACUAUACCUAAACUCACUACUUCAGACUUAAGCGCCCUCCAGAAGCUUGCGUUCUGCAAGUGAACGGCGCCUUGUGGGGCACAAAAUCACUCUCACAGACCUUCUCCUGGUCUGUGGCCUGCACUCAAGCCAGCAGAGAUCCUGAUUGAUCUGGGCCCGAUUGGUCGAUUCCCGUUGCUGAUAAGGACCACCCCAAACGCACUAUCGAGGCCGACAUUGUGCCAUUUGUUUUGCUCUGUUUUGGUCUCUUCUUUGAUUGUGUGUGCUUUGUAAAACUUGCUUUUGUUCAGUUUGAUUUACAAUUCUCAGUUUUGUAAAACUUGCUUUUUUUCUUCAGUUAUUGUGUAAAUAUUAUUUGUAAAAAAGUUUAAAAAGUUUAAGGGAAGUAGGGAGUGCAACACCAUUUCUUUUGCAUAUAUCAUUUAUUCUAUGUUUUGGGUUAAAGGAGCUAGGGAAGUUGCGUUGUAUUUUUCUUUUAAUGUGUGUGUGUGUGUUUUUUUAGGGAAUUUAGAGGGUACUAAAAUCAGUUAUUUUUGUUUGUUAUUUUGGCCUGGUCCACUCCUGAA
Molecule: long non-coding RNA, 4230 nt
Organism: Ctenopharyngodon idella (grass carp)
Lineage: Eukaryota; Metazoa; Chordata; Actinopteri; Cypriniformes; Xenocyprididae
Exons: 5
Source: RefSeq, a predicted model, not a curated record